CAGCAGCCGCGGGAAUACGAAGGGUGCAAGCGCUAAUCGGAAUUACUGGGCGUAAAGCGUGCGUAGGCGGUGAGUUAAGUCUGCUGUGAAAUCCCCGGGCUCAACCUGGGAAUGGCAGUGGAUACUGGCUCGCUAGAGUGUGUCAGAGGAUGGUGGAAUUCCCGGUGUAGCGGUGAAAUGCGUAGAGAUCGGGAGGAACAUCAGUGGCGAAGGCGGCCAUCUGGGACAACACUGACGCUGAGGCACGAAAGCGUGGGGAGCAAACAGGAUUAGAUACCCGAGUAGUCCCUGUCUCUUAUAC
RNAcentral lists this ribosomal RNA (301 nucleotides) under uncultured bacterium. Its description in RNAcentral is "partial 16S ribosomal RNA". It matches the Rfam family "Bacterial small subunit ribosomal RNA", at positions 509 to 807 of the family's 1533-position model. The record is from RNAcentral.